AGUCGAACGGCAGCGCGGGGCAACCUGGCGGCGAGUGGCGAACGGGUGAGUAAUAUAUCGGAACGUACCCAGAAGUGGGGGAUAACGUAGCGAAAGUUACGCUAAUACCGCAUACGAUCUACGGAUGAAAGUGGGGGACCUUCGGGCCUCAUGCUUGUGGAGCGGCCGAUAUCUGAUUAGCUAGUUGGUGAGGUAAAGGCCCACCAAGGCGACGAUCAGUAGCUGGUCUGAGAGGACGACCAGCCACACUGGGACUGAGACACGGCCCAGACUCCUACGGGAGGCAGCAGUGGGGAAUUUUGGACAAUGGGCGCAAGCCUGAUCCAGCAAUGCCGCGUGAGUGAAGAAGGCCUUCGGGUUGUAAAGCUCUUUUGUCAGGGAAGAAACGGUGCGGACUAAUAUUCUGCGCUAAUGACGGUACCUGAAGAAUAAGCACCGGCUAACUACGUGCCAGCAGCCGCGGUAAUACGUAGGGUGCAAGCGUUAAUCGGAAUUACUGGGCGUAAAGCGUGCGCAGGCGGUUUUGUAAGUCUGUCGUGAAAGCCCCGGGCUCAACCUGGGAAUUGCGAUGGAGACUGCAAGGCUUGAAUCUGGCAGAGGGGGGUAGAAUUUCCACGUGUAGCAGUGAAAUGCGUAGAGAUGUGGAGGAACACCGAUGGCGAAGGCAGCCCCCUGGGUCAAGAUUGACGCUCAUGCACGAAAGCGUGGGAGCAAACAGGAUUAGAUACCCUGGUAGUCCACGCCCUAAACGAUGUCUACUAGUUGUCGGGUUUUAAUUAACUUGGUAACGCAGCUAACGCGUGAAGUAGACCGCCUGGGGAGUACGGUCGCAAGAUUAAAACUCAAAGGAAUUGACGGGGACCCGCACAAGCGGUGGAUGAUGUGGAUUAAUUCGAUGCAACGCGAAAAACCUUACCUACCCUUGACAUGGAAGGAAUCCCGGAGAGAUUUGGGAGUGCCCGAAAGGGAACCUUCACACAGGUGCUGCAUGGCUGUCGUCAGCUCGUGUCGUGAGAUGUUGGGUUAAGUCCCGCAACGAGCGCAACCCUUGUCAUUAGUUGCUACGCAAGAGCACUCUAAUGAGACUGCCGGUGACAAACCGGAGGAAGGUGGGGAUGACGUCAAGUCCUCAUGGCCCUUAUGGGUAGGGCUUCACACGUCAUACAAUGGUACAUACAGAGGGCCGCCAACCCGCGAGGGGGAGCUAAUCCCAGAAAGUGUAUCGUAGUCCGGAUUGUAGUCUGCAACUCGACUACAUGAAGUUGGAAUCGCUAGUAAUCGCGGAUCAGCAUGUCGCGGUGAAUACGUUCCCGGGUCUUGUACACACCGCCCGUCACACCAUGGGAGCGGGUUUUACCAGAAGUAGGUAGCUUAACCGCAAGGGGGGC
This 1388-nucleotide ribosomal RNA is filed under the name Massilia sp. HMD2167. RNAcentral's name for it is "bacterial SSU rRNA". It matches the Rfam family "Bacterial small subunit ribosomal RNA". The record is from RNAcentral. Lineage: Bacteria; Pseudomonadati; Pseudomonadota; Betaproteobacteria; Burkholderiales; Oxalobacteraceae.